AAUGAAUAUCGACCGGUAGCGUCGAUAUCUGUAACAUCUGGAUGAAGCAUUAGUUUAUUUUCUUUUCGUUUGACACUUGAUAUUGACAGACAACAUUGGCAGCUGUCAGUAACAACAGUGUUAAAUGCAAUGGUCAGAAAAUAAGUGUGAAAUUCCAGAAAAGACCCUUUGACAAUUCCAGCAUAUCGUGUACGCACUCAUGGAAGACGGCAAGAUAGAAAGUGGCGUGCAUAGGGCUGGUAGAUAAGAUUUUAACUCUCUUCCUGAAUAAGGAGGCAGCAAUGGCGAAGGGGAUCCAUGCAAGGAGGACCCAUGUAUUUAUAUUGGACUACUACUAUUUUACACCGCAAUUUAAAAUAGCGUAAGUUAAAAUAUUUCUGAUUUAAUGUUUGACACUUGCUGAAUAAAUCGGGUAAGGGAGCAGUCACUUACCUGUCUAAGAAAUGUAUAUCCCUGUUUCUCUUAGGUAAUUAGAAAUUUAAUUAUAUAGUUUAUAACAUUUUUGAGAGUAUAGGUAUUUGCUUUUUGUUGCCCUAUUCUAAGUCAUAUUAUUUAUUAUAUCAAAUAAACAACUUCUACCAUUUA
Molecule: long non-coding RNA, 585 nt
Filed under: Anthonomus grandis grandis
Lineage: Eukaryota; Metazoa; Arthropoda; Insecta; Coleoptera; Curculionidae
Description: uncharacterized LOC126749640
Source: RNAcentral